GAGUCAUUGAUGAGAACAAGUCUCUGAAGGCGGGGAUUGACUCAUACAAAUGUCAAUAAGAGGUCC
Molecule: small nucleolar RNA, 66 nt
Organism: Mesocricetus auratus (golden hamster)
Lineage: Eukaryota; Metazoa; Chordata; Mammalia; Rodentia; Cricetidae
Product: small nucleolar RNA SNORD109A
Exons: 1
Source: RefSeq, a predicted model, not a curated record